RNAcentral lists this ribosomal RNA (891 nucleotides) under uncultured soil bacterium. RNAcentral's name for it is "bacterial SSU rRNA". It matches the Rfam family "Bacterial small subunit ribosomal RNA", at positions 8 to 863 of the family's 1533-position model. The record is from RNAcentral.
AGAGUUUGAUCCUGGCUCAGGACGAACGCUGGCGGCGUGCUAAUACAUGCAAGUCGAGCGCAGGAAGCUAACCGAUCCCCUUUCGGGGGUGACGUUAGUGGAAUGAGCGGCGGACGGGUGAGUAACACGUGGGCAACCUGCCUGUAAGACCGGAAUAACCCCGGGAAACCGGGGCUAAUGCCGGAUAAUCUCUUCUCUCUCAUGAGGAAAGAGUAAAAGAUGGCCUUUGGCUAUCACUUACAGAUGGGCCCGCGGCGCAUUAGCUAGUUGGUGAGGUAACGGCUCACCAAGGCGACGAUGCGUAGCCGACCUGAGAGGGUGAUCGGCCACACUGGGACUGAGACACGGCCCAGACUCCUACGGGAGGCAGCAGUAGGGAAUCUUCCGCAAUGGACGAAAGUCUGACGGAGCAACGCCGCGUGAACGAUGAAGGUUUUCGGAUCGUAAAGUUCUGUUGUGAGGGAAGAACAAGUACCGUGCGAAUAGAGCGGUACCUUGACGGUACCUCACGAGAAAGCCCCGGCUAACUACGUGCCAGCAGCCGCGGUAAUACGUAGGGGGCAAGCGUUGUCCGGAAUUAUUGGGCGUAAAGCGCGCGCAGGCGGUUCCUUAAGUCUGAUGUGAAAGCCCACGGCUCAACCGUGGAGGGUCAUUGGAAACUGGGGAACUUGAGGACAGAAGAGGAGAGUGGAAUUCCACGUGUAGCGGUGAAAUGCGUAGAUAUGUGGAGGAACACCAGUGGCGAAGGCGACUCUCUGGUCUGUUUCUGACGCUGAGGUGCGAAAGCGUGGGUAGCAAACAGGAUUAGAUACCCUGGUAGUCCACGCCGUAAACGAUGAGUGCUAGGUGUUAGGGGGCUUCCACCCCUUAGUGCUGAAGUUAACGCAUUAA